AUAUAUUAUUGCCCAUUUGGCGGUAACGGAAUUACACAUAUACAGAUCACUUUUGUGACCAUACAUGACAAACUGGUUGUGAAGUCGCCAAGACCAAUUUAUAGAAACAGGUCAAUAAACUCCACAGUAUUCAAUAGGAAACAAAGGAUAUUCAAUUGUUUUAUUGACUAUUGUGAGGGCCUAUUAACCUAGCAAAUACCACAUGCAAUACAUUAUUUCAAAGCUUAUUUUAUGCAGGUUUGAUCAAAAUCGAUUGAAAAUUGCAACAUUACAACCUGUUCGUCGUGGAUGGUUACAUUUAAGCAUUCAAACAAUUCCAAAACACUUAAGUGAUACUAAUAACACUGCCUACACCCAACACAGGGAUCUUGGUGUAAAUUAAAA
Long non-coding RNA from Strongylocentrotus purpuratus (purple sea urchin), 384 nucleotides. RefSeq lists it as uncharacterized. The transcript has 2 exons. Lineage: Eukaryota; Metazoa; Echinodermata; Echinoidea; Camarodonta; Strongylocentrotidae. The record is from RefSeq and is a predicted model, not a curated record.